GUUGUAUCUGUGGAGAGGUUGUAUCUGUGGAGAGGUUGUAUCUGUGGAGAGGUUGUAUCUGUGGAGAGGUUGUAGCUGUGGAGAGGUUGUAUCUGUGGAGAGGUUGUAGCUGUGGAGAGGUUGUAGCUGUGGAGAGGUUGUAGCUGUGGAGGUUGUAGCUGUGGAGAAGUUGUAUCUGUGGAGAGGUUGUAUCUGUGGAGAGGUUGUAGCUGUGGAGAGACUAGCUGUGGAGAGGUUGUAUCUGUGGAGAGGUUGUAGCUGUGGAGAGGUUGUAGCUGUGGAGAGGUUGUAGCUGUGGAGAGGUUGUAUCUGUGGAGAGGUUGUAGCUGUGGAGAGGUUGUAGCUGUGGAGAGGUUGUAGCUGUGGAGAGGUUGUAUCUGUGGAG
Oncorhynchus tshawytscha (Chinook salmon) is the source of this 385-nucleotide long non-coding RNA. The record is from Ensembl. NCBI's taxonomy places the organism in Eukaryota, Metazoa, Chordata, Actinopteri, Salmoniformes, Salmonidae.